UACGUUUUAGUAUAUGAUGUACAGGGAUUUUUGAUAUCCAAGGAUGUGGUUUGAUUCUACAAGAUGUAA
This 69-nucleotide transfer RNA is filed under the name Diaclina fagi. Its description in RNAcentral is "tRNA-Gln". Lineage: Eukaryota; Metazoa; Arthropoda; Insecta; Coleoptera; Tenebrionidae. The record is from RNAcentral.